UACACUCCUGCGGGAGGCAGCAGUGGGGAAUUUUGGACAAUGGGCGAAAGCCUGAUCCAGCAAUGCCGCGUGAGUGAAGAAGGCCUUCGGGUUGUAAAGCUCUUUUGUCAGGGAAGAAACGGUGAAAGCUAAUAUCUUUUGCUAAUGACGGUACCUGAAGAAUAAGCACCGGCUAACUACGUGCCAGCAGCCGCGGUAAUACGUAGGGUGCAAGCGUUAAUCGGAAUUACUGGGCGUAAAGCGUGCGCAGGCGGUUUUGUAAGUCUGAUGUGAAAUCCCCGGGCUCAACCUGGGAAUUGCAUUGGAGACUGCAAGGCUAGAAUCUGGCAGAGGGGGGUAGAAUUCCACGUGUAGCAGUGAAAUGCGUAGAUAUGUGGAGGAACACCGAUGGCGAAGGCAGCCCCCUGGGUCAAGAUUGACGCUCAUGCACGAAAGCGUGGGGAGCAAACAGGAUUAGAAACCCUAGUAGUCCCAUGA
Molecule: ribosomal RNA, 477 nt
Filed under: uncultured organism
Description: partial 16S ribosomal RNA
Rfam family: Bacterial small subunit ribosomal RNA
Source: RNAcentral